Molecule: long non-coding RNA, 490 nt
Organism: Amphibalanus amphitrite
Lineage: Eukaryota; Metazoa; Arthropoda; Thecostraca; Balanomorpha; Balanidae
Exons: 3
Source: RefSeq, a predicted model, not a curated record
AUCAAUAGCCCGACCUUGCCCAGUUCGAAUGUCUGACCGGUAUUUCUGUUUAAUUGCUCUCGCGGAGCCGGGAAAGUUCACCCGCACUUGUGCCCACGCCGCGGUCGGCAGGGCUGACCGGAGGGUGACCUCGCCAGGACUGGUGGCCUUAGAUGUCCCAACUGGGAUACAGGACACUCUAUACGGGGACCACGCCGAGGACAGGGGACCGACUAUAAAACGGCCGACCGGCGUCAGAUAGGCACAGUUCACCGCUGACUACCAUCUCAACAACAACAUGAAGCUGAUCGUGUUCGCCGCCGUGCUGGCCGUGGCCGCCGCCGCCCCGUCGGAGCUCCCCUACGAGAGGGACAUUGUCGAGAUCCUCCGACAGAACAUCGACCACAACGACGACCAGUCCUACCAACACUCUUUCGAGAGUGAGAACGGCAUCUCUGUGUCGGAGUCUGGCGAGCCGGAGGACGACGACAGCUACAGCGUGUCGGGCCAG